GAUUAAGCCAUGCAUGUGUAAGUAUAAAUAGUUAACUUUGAAACUGCGAAUGGCUCAUUAUAUCAGUUAUAGUUUAUUUGAUGAAGAAUACUAAUUGGAUAACCGUAGUAAUUCUAGAGCUAAUACAUGUAUAAAGUCUUGUAGACUGCAUUUAUUAGAAUGAAAACCAUAGGUUUCGGCCUAUUCGUGAGUAAUAAUAACUAAUCAUAUCGUAUGCUUACGUAACGAUGUGUCUUUCAAGUUUCUGCCCUAUCAGCUUUCGAUGGUAGUGUAUUGGACUACCAUGGC
Molecule: ribosomal RNA, 288 nt
Filed under: Blastocystis hominis
Lineage: Eukaryota; Bigyra; Opalinata; Blastocystidae
Description: partial 18S ribosomal RNA
Rfam family: Eukaryotic small subunit ribosomal RNA
Source: RNAcentral